AGAUUAAGUUAUUAAGGGCGCACGGUGGAUGCCUUGGCACUAGAAGCCGAUGAAGGACGUUACUAACGACGAUAUGCUUUGGGGAGCUGUAAGUAAGCUGAGAUCCAGAG
This 110-nucleotide ribosomal RNA is filed under the name Staphylococcus agnetis. RNAcentral's name for it is "partial 23S ribosomal RNA". It matches the Rfam family "Bacterial large subunit ribosomal RNA", at positions 1 to 109 of the family's 2925-position model. The record is from RNAcentral. Lineage: Bacteria; Bacillati; Bacillota; Bacilli; Caryophanales; Staphylococcaceae.